CAUUUUCCUAGUGGAUUUGCUCAUGGAUGGAUGCCUCCCUCCAGCAGUCUGGAUGGGAUGCCAGCAGGGUCCAGCUUCACAAAGGUGGAACUACAGCGCAGCUCUGUGGUGUCAAGUUUGCCCACAGAUGAGGGCCUGCUUUCUGCAAGUGAUCUCUGCUGGUCAUUCCUAGAACUCUCCCGCGCCGUGACCUUCAGGAAGGCACACAGCCUGAAUCUUCCAUCAAUACCUUCUACAGUUGAUUAAAUACAGGACAGAAAACGAAUACAUCAGCUUGACAUUUUUCUGAAUCAAGGCUCUUGUCAUGGAGCGAAUGUUGCCAUUUGUUAUUAAAACACUCCUGCCUACACCUCCUAUCAGUGAAUUAACUUCCUACCCUCACCCCCGGCCCAUCGGGGGUUUACUUUGUCCUUCAC
RNAcentral lists this long non-coding RNA (416 nucleotides) under Bos indicus x Bos taurus (hybrid cattle). RNAcentral's name for it is "lncRNA (ENSBIXG00000008164.1)". The record is from RNAcentral. Lineage: Eukaryota; Metazoa; Chordata; Mammalia; Artiodactyla; Bovidae.